RNAcentral lists this non-coding RNA (30 nucleotides) under Mus musculus (house mouse). The record is from RNAcentral. Lineage: Eukaryota; Metazoa; Chordata; Mammalia; Rodentia; Muridae.
UGGGAAGUUUUCAGAGUGAUGUACAAAUGC